This 429-nucleotide ribosomal RNA is filed under the name uncultured bacterium. RNAcentral describes it as "bacterial SSU rRNA". It matches the Rfam family "Bacterial small subunit ribosomal RNA", at positions 30 to 459 of the family's 1533-position model. The record is from RNAcentral.
AUUGAACGCUGGCGGCAUGCCUUACACAUGCAAGUCGAACGGCAGCACGGGAGCAAUCCUGGUGGCGAGUGGCGAACGGGUGAGUAAUAUAUCGGAACGUGCCCAGUCGUGGGGGAUAACGUAGCGAAAGCUACGCUAAUACCGCAUACGAUCUACGGAUGAAAGCGGGGGAUCGCAAGACCUCGCGCGAUUGGAGCGGCCGAUAUCAGAUUAGCUAGUUGGUGAGGUAAAGGCUCACCAAGGCGACGAUCUGUAGCUGGUUUGAGAGGACGACCAGCCACACUGGAACUGAGACACGGUCCAGACUCCUACGGGAGGCAGCAGUGGGGAAUUUUGGACAAUGGGCGCAAGCCUGAUCCAGCAAUGCCGCGUGCAGGAUGAAGGCCUUCGGGUUGUAAACUGCUUUUGUACGGAACGAAAAAGCUCUUU